This 138-nucleotide small nuclear RNA is filed under the name Amphiprion percula (orange clownfish). RNAcentral's name for it is "U4 spliceosomal RNA (ENSAPEG00000006826.1)". The stretch from base 51 to 138 matches the Rfam family "U4 spliceosomal RNA", at positions 53 to 138 of the family's 138-position model. From Rfam's summary of the family: U4 small nuclear RNA (U4 snRNA) is a component of the major U2-dependent spliceosome. The structure of U4 snRNA from yeast and human has been reported. U4 snRNA presents a k-turn RNA motif in the 5p-SL related to recognition of Snu13 protein. Lineage: Eukaryota; Metazoa; Chordata; Actinopteri; Pomacentridae. The record is from RNAcentral.
ACCAUUGCACUGAAAAGGUGGAGUUGGAGUCAACAGACCAAUUACGUGAUUAUUGCUGGUUGAAAACUUCACCCAAUACCCCGCCUUGAUGACUUGAAACAUAGUCAGCUAUGGUAAUUUUUGUAAGUUUCUGAGAAG